UAAGGUUAAGUUAAUAAGGGCGCACGGUGGAUGCCUUGGCACUAGAAGCCGAUGAAGGACGUGACUAACGACGAAAUGCUUUGGGGAGCUGUAAGUGAGCAAUGAUCCAGAGAUGUCCGAAUGGGGGAACCCGGCAGGUAAUGCCUGUCACUCAUUACUGUUAAGGUAAUGUAGAGGAAGACGCAGUGAACUGAAACAUCUAAGUAGCUGCAGGAAGAGAAAGCAAAAGCGAUUGCCUUAGUAGCGGCGAGCGAAACGGCAAGAGGGCAAACCGAAGAGUUUACUCUUCGGGGUUGUAGGACUGCAACGUGGACUUAAAGAUUAUAGAAGAACUACCUGGGAAGGUAGGCCAAAGAGAGUAAUAGCCUCGUAUUCGAAAUAGUCUUUAUACCUAGCAGUAUCCUGAGUACGGCGAGACACGAGAAAUCUCGUCGGAAUCUGGGAGGACCAUCUCCCAACCCUAAAUACUCUCUAGUGACCGAUAGUGAACCAGUACCGUGAGGGAAAGGUGAAAAGCACCCCGGGAGGGGAGUGAAAUAGAACCUGAAACCGUGUGCCUACAACAAGUUCGAGCCCGUUAAUGGGUGAGAGCGUGCCUUUUGUAGAAUGAACCGGCGAGUUACGAUAUGAUGCGAGGUUAAGUUGAAGAGACGGAGCCGUAGGGAAACCGAGUCUUAAUAGGGCGCAUUAGUAUCAUGUCGUAGACCCGAAACCAUGUGACCUACCCAUGAGCAGGUUGAAGGUGAGGUAAAACUCACUGGAGGACCGAACCAGGGCACGUUGAAAAGUGCUUGGAUGACUUGUGGGUAGCGGAGAAAUUCCAAACGAACUUGGAGAUAGCUGGUUCUCUCCGAAAUAGCUUUAGGGCUAGCGUCGAUGUUAAGUCUCUUGGAGGUAGAGCACUGUUUGGGUGAGGGGUCCAUCCCGGAUUACCAAUCUCAGAUAAACUCCGAAUGCCAACGAGAUAUAAUCGGCAGUCAGACUGCGAGUGCUAAGAUCCGUAGUCGAAAGGGAAACAGCCCAGACCACCAGCUAAGGUCCCAAAAUAUAUGUUAAGUGGAAAAGGAUGUGGGGUUGCACAGACAACUAGGAUGUUAGCUUAGAAGCAGCUAUUCAUUCAAAGAGUGCGUAAUAGCUCACUAGUCGAGUGACCCUGCGCCGAAAAUGUACCGGGGCUAAAACAUAUUACCGAAGCUGUGGAUACCUUUAUAGGUAUGGUAGGAGAGCGUUCUAUGUGCGAAGAAGGUGUACCGUGAGGAGUGCUGGAGCGCAUAGAAGUGAGAAUGCCGGUAUGAGUAGCGAAAGACAGGUGAGAAUCCUGUCCACCGUAAGACUAAGGUUUCCAGGGGAAGGCUCGUCCGCCCUGGGUUAGUCGGGACCUAAGGAGAGACCGAAAGGUGUAUCCGAUGGACAACAGGUUGAUAUUCCUGUACUAGAGUAUAUAGUGAUGGAGGGACGCAGUAGGCUAACUAAACCAGACGAUUGGAAGUGUCUGGCCAAGCAGUGAGGUGUGAUAUGAGUCAAAUGCUUAUAUCUAUAACAUUGAGCUGUGAUGGGGAGCGAAGUUUAGUAGCGAAGUUAGUGAUGUCACACUGCCGAGAAAAGCUUCUAGCGUUAAUUAUACUCUACCCGUACCGCAAACCGACACAGGUAGUCGAGGCGAGUAGCCUCAGGUGAGCGAGAGAACUCUCGUUAAGGAACUCGGCAAAAUGGCCCCGUAACUUCGGGAGAAGGGGCGCUGACUUAUGGUCAGCCGCAGUGAAUAGGCCCAAGCAACUGUUUAUCAAAAACACAGCUCUCUGCUAAAUCGUAAGAUGAUGUAUAGGGGGUGACGCCUGCCCGGUGCUGGAAGGUUAAGAGGAGUGCUUAGCAAUAGCGAAGGUAUGAAUUGAAGCCCCAGUAAACGGCGGCCGUAACUAUAACGGUCCUAAGGUAGCGAAAUUCCUUGUCGGGUAAGUUCCGACCCGCACGAAAGGCGUAAUGAUUUGGGCACUGUCUCAACGAGAGACUCGGUGAAAUUUUAGUACCUGUGAAGAUGCAGGUUACCCGCGACAGGACGGAAAGACCCCAUGGAGCUUUACUGCAGUUUGAUAUUGAGUAUCUGUACCACAUGUACAGGAUAGGUAGGAGCCUAUGACCUCGGGACGCCAGUUUCGAGUGAGGCGUUGUUGGGAUACU
This 2178-nucleotide ribosomal RNA is filed under the name Streptococcus sp. HMSC078H12. RNAcentral's name for it is "bacterial LSU rRNA". It matches the Rfam family "Bacterial large subunit ribosomal RNA", at positions 1 to 2201 of the family's 2925-position model. The record is from RNAcentral. Lineage: Bacteria; Bacillati; Bacillota; Bacilli; Lactobacillales; Streptococcaceae.